This 832-nucleotide ribosomal RNA is filed under the name Ilyonectria liriodendri. RNAcentral's name for it is "LSU rRNA". It matches the Rfam family "Eukaryotic large subunit ribosomal RNA", at positions 70 to 932 of the family's 3401-position model. Lineage: Eukaryota; Fungi; Ascomycota; Sordariomycetes; Hypocreales; Nectriaceae. The record is from RNAcentral.
GGGCAUUGCCCUAGUAACGGCGAGUGAAGCGGCAACAGCUCAAAUUUGAAAUCUGGCCCUCGGGUCCGAGUUGUAAUUUGUAGAGGAUGCUUUUGGUGAGGUACCUUCCGAGUUCCCUGGAACGGGACGCCAUAGAGGGUGAGGAGCCCCGUCUGGUUGGAUACCGAUCCUCUGUAAAGCUCCUUCGACGAGUCGAGUAGUUUGGGAAUGCUGCUCUAAAUGGGAGGUAUAUGUCUUCUAAAGCUAAAUAUUGGCCAGAGACCGAUAGCGCACAAGUAGAGUGAUCGAAAGAUGAAAAGCACUUUGAAAAGAGAGUUAAAAAGUACGUGAAAUUGUUGAAAGGGAAGCGCUCAUGACCAGACUUGGGCUUGGUUGAUCAUCCAGGGUUCUCCCUGGUGCACUCUUCCAGCUCAGGCCAGCAUCAGUUCGCCGCGGGGGAUAAAGGCUUUGGGAAUGUGGCUCCUCCGGGAGUGUUAUAGCCCACUGCGUAAUACCCUGUAGUGGACUGAGGUUCGCGCAUCUGCAAGGAUGCUGGCGUAAUGGUCAUCAGCGACCCGUCUUGAAACACGGACCAAGGAGUCGUCUUCGUAUGCGAGUGUUCGGGUGUUAAACCCCUACGCGUAAUGAAAGUGAACGCAGGUGAGAGCUUCGGCGCAUCAUCGACCGAUCCUGAUGUUCUCGGAUGGAUUUUGAGUAAGAGCAUACGGGGCCGGACCCGAAAGAAGGUGAACUAUGCCUGUAUAGGGUGAAGCCAGAGGAAACUCUGGUGGAGGCUCGCAGCGGUUCUGACGUGCAAAUCGAUCGUCAAAUAUGGGCAUGGGGGCGAAAGACU